UACGUAGGGAGCGAGCGUUGUCCGGAAUUACUGGGCGUAAAGGGUGCGUAGGCGGCGAUGUAAGUCAGAUGUGAAAUCCCCGGGCUCAACUCGGGUUCUGCAUUUGAAACUACAUUGCUUGAGUGCAGGAGAGGAAAGCGGAAUUCCUAGUGUAGCGGUGAAAUGCGUAGAUAUUAGGAAGAACACCAGUGGCGAAGGCGGCUUUCUGGACUGUAACUGACGCUGAGGCACGAAAGCGUGGGGAGCAAACAGG
RNAcentral lists this ribosomal RNA (253 nucleotides) under uncultured bacterium. RNAcentral's name for it is "partial 16S ribosomal RNA". It matches the Rfam family "Bacterial small subunit ribosomal RNA", at positions 524 to 776 of the family's 1533-position model. The record is from RNAcentral.